AACGAACGCUGGCGGCAUGCCUAACACAUGCAAGUCGAACGAGACCUUCGGGCCUAGUGGUGCACGGGUGCGUAACGCGUGGGAACCUGCCUUUAGGUUCGGAAUAUCUCCCCGAAAGGGGUGCUAAUACCGGAUAUUGUCUUCCGACCAAAGAUUUAUUGCCUUUGGAUGGGCCCGGGUUGGCUUACCUAGUUGUUAGCCUAAAAGCGUACCAAGGCGACGUUCCAUAGCUGGUCAGGGAGGAAGGGCAGCGACACUGGGACUAGGACACGGCCCGGACUCCUACGCGAGGGAGCAGUGGGUAAUAUUGGACAAUGGGCGAAAGCCAGAACCAGCUCUGCCGCGUGAGUGAUGAAGGUCUUGGGGUAGGAAAGCACGUUUAUCCGGGAUGAUAAUGACGGUACCGAGAGAAUAAGCACCGGCUAACUCCGUG
This 433-nucleotide ribosomal RNA is filed under the name uncultured bacterium. Its description in RNAcentral is "partial 16S ribosomal RNA". It matches the Rfam family "Bacterial small subunit ribosomal RNA", at positions 29 to 507 of the family's 1533-position model. The record is from RNAcentral.